RNAcentral lists this transfer-messenger RNA (137 nucleotides) under Bacteroidales bacterium. Its description in RNAcentral is "partial transfer-messenger RNA". It matches the Rfam family "transfer-messenger RNA", at positions 232 to 374 of the family's 374-position model. From Rfam's summary of the family: Bacterial tmRNA, also known as 10Sa RNA or SsrA, is named for its dual tRNA and mRNA-like properties. Its role is to liberate the mRNA from a stalled ribosome. To accomplish this part of the tmRNA is used as a reading frame that ends in a translation stop signal. Lineage: Bacteria; Pseudomonadati; Bacteroidota; Bacteroidia; Bacteroidales. The record is from RNAcentral.
GGUUAAGACUUAAAGGCUAAGGAUGAGUUUGCCCGCCUACCGGCUGGCUCAUCACAAAAACCAAAGGCUGGAUAAGCAUGUAGAAAGCCGCCAGGUGCGACGUUUGGACAGCGGUUCGAGUCCGCUCACCUCCACAA